CAAGCUUAAAAUGAAGGAAUAGCUGUGAUGUGUCAUGAUUUGGUCAAGCUCUUGUAGUCUGAAACUUGUCCUUUUUCUACUACAAGUAAUUUCCUUCCUAAAACCAUGACCAAUCAUCUGGAAUCUGAACCGUCUCCACUGCAGGAAACACAUUGAAACAUUAUAUCUUUUUUUUUAAAUAUACCAUUGAAAAUAUUCUAUGGCCAUGCUGAUUUGUUUUCAGAACACCUUCCUUUAGCACCUAUACUGUUUUAAUUUCAAUAAACUGUGUAAUUUGACAAAUAAAUUUCACUUGAUUAUGUUUCAAGGUAGCUGCUUUUGGGUAGCUUAUAGGGAAUGCCUCCCUAAUGCUAAUAUCUAAUCUCAAAUGUAAACUUUUUAAAUCACAUUUAGGAUAAAUUACUUCUGGAUUUUUUUUUUUAAUGUACUACAAAUUUGUAUUUGUAAAUUCUCAGUGGUUUCUGUAAGACAGAAUCCUAUUUCCUGAUCUUGUUCUUAGAUUUGAUGAUUGUUGUGUACUUUUGAAUACUAAGACUUGUAGCUGGUCUAGAGAUUUGUUGAAAUUAAUGAACACAUAACAGAUGUUCAUGGGUGUGAGUUACUCUUCCACUAAUUAGUAGCCUUUCCUUGGAGUCAUGCCUAACAGCUAAAUAUCAGUAGACCAUAACCUUAGUCACGUUUUAAAUAACAUACCACGAGCUUUUAAAAAUAAUAAUGUAAUUUGUUUCUCAUUCUUUUUGGGGGCCACCCAUUAUUGAAGGAGGAUAAGAUAAUUUUCUCUUCUGUUCUUCCUUUUUAAGCCAGGCAGCUUUUUUCAAUCUGAUGUAAUUCUGAGAGAGAAUUCUUUGCUUUCAAAAGCUUAGGAGCUCAUAAGAAAUUUUCUCAAUGUGUGCUUGCUUUUAAAAUAUUUUUUCUGGGGCAGCCUGGGUGGCUCAGCGGUUUAGUGCCACCUUCAGCCCAGGGCAUGAUCCUGGAGUCCCGGGAUCGAGUCCCACGUCCGGCUCCCUGUUGCAUGGAGCCUGCUUCUCCCCCUGCCUAUGUCUCUGCCUCUCUCUCUCUUUCUGUAUCUCUAUGAAUAAAUAAAUAAAAUCUUUAAAAAAAAUAAAAAUAAACCUAAUAAUUUUAAUAAAGUUCCAAGAUUAAUAGUUUAUUUUAAGAUUGGAUAGGUGAAUAUGAUGCCUACCUCUUAUCAAGUUGACCCAAAUCUAAGUACAUAAUUAAUAAAGCCUGUUUGCUUACCACUUCCAUGAUUUCUUUUUUUUCCCAUGAUUUCUUUAAAAAAUAUUUCAUAAUUUUAGGAUUUUUUCACGAAAUAUUAUUUUUACUUAAAAUAUUUAGUAGUUGAAGUUCCUUUUGUUCAGUGUGCUAUAAACUUAUUUAAGAGAAUAAUUUAGUUGGUACUGGUAUUUUGUGAGGCCAGGCCUUUUAUAAACAAAUGUUCAGAGGUUAUUUCAGUAGUUGAACUUUUUUCAUACCAUUCAGUGGUUUACGUUUUACAGAUCCAUUUCUUUAAAAUACAGAUUCAAUAUUUAUUCUAAAACAUGCAUGUAUGCUAUUACUUUUAGUGGGUGAUUUGUAUCCCAAAAUGGCUUUAAUGUAUUAUUUACUACAAUAAACUUUUGUUAGACAGUGAGAAGUAGCAAUAGAGAACACUUGUUUAAUAGUUAUAUGUAUUAGGUAUUAUUCCAAAUUGUUUUUCAUGUAUUAACUUAUUUAAUUUUCAGAACAAUUCCAAGAGGUAGGUAAUAAUAUUAUCCCCAUUUUAACAGAUAAAGAAACUGAGUCACAGAGGAAAUAACUUGCUCAAUGUCACACAGUUUAUAAAUGUUGACAUGGCGAUCUCAACCUAGAGACUGUGGUUCUGAAGUCUACUGUUAUACAUUAUGCCUCUCUAAAGAGACUGGGGCUGUCCCCAGGUGGAUCAUCAGAUGGACCUAAAUCCACAAAAAUGCAGUCUGUUAAAUAGGAUCCUCUGAUUUUGUUAAAAGGGGCGCUGAUAAUAUUGCCAGUAUCCAAAUAUUAUGUGAUAUGACAAGUAAUACUAUUAUAUCAUGUAUAUUUUGAUAUGACAUUAUUUCUACAUUAAAUUUUGAGCCACAAUCCUUAGAAAUCUAAUAUAAAGAAUGACUGAAUACACUAAAAUGCAUAGAAUGGAACCAUAUAAAGAGAGCUUGCAGAGGCAGGGAAUGUUUAGUCUAGUAUUUAAGAUCAUAGGGAGACAGGGAAAUUCAUUUGUCCACUAACUUUUCAGAAAUACAUGAAAUUUAAGGAAAAACUUUACUAUCUUGAUUAUGGAUUGAAUUAGUUGAAAUUACAUCACCUUACAAUUAAAGAAAUCGCAGGGUUGCAUGUGUGUAUGUGUGCAUGCAUGGAUGGUUGGGAAUGCUGAGACAAGAAGCCCCAAGACCAUGUUUAAGGGACAACACAUGAUCUAGUUUUAUUUGAGGAUUAUUUGGCAGGCUUUGUCUCACUGACUGCAGUUGGAUUAUAUAAAGUGAUUGUGGGAAGUUGGGAAGUUUUCUGAGAGGAGGGUAGGGUAAAUGCCAUGAGUGGAAUAUUAAGGAAAAAAUAUUUAAAGACAAUUUCAAAGACAUUUGUUGUCUGUGAAAAAAAUAAAAAA
This 2620-nucleotide long non-coding RNA is filed under the name Canis lupus familiaris (dog). RNAcentral describes it as "lncRNA (ENSCAFG00000055230.1)". Lineage: Eukaryota; Metazoa; Chordata; Mammalia; Carnivora; Canidae. The record is from RNAcentral.